This 287-nucleotide ribosomal RNA is filed under the name uncultured bacterium. RNAcentral describes it as "partial 16S ribosomal RNA". It matches the Rfam family "Bacterial small subunit ribosomal RNA", at positions 123 to 406 of the family's 1533-position model. The record is from RNAcentral.
UACAUGCCCUUCAGUGGGGAAUAGCCCAGGGAAACUUGGAUUAAUACCCCAUGGUAUCGCAAGAUUAAAGGUGGCCAGCAGUUAAAUGUUGGCUACCGCUGAAGGAUUGGUUCGCACCCUAUCAGCUUGUUGGUGAGGUAAUGGCUCACCAAGGCUACGACGGGUACCUGGUCUGAGAGGACGAUCAGGCACACUGGAACUGAGACACGGUCCAGACACCUACGGGUGGCAGCAGUCGAGAAUAAUUCACAAUGGGGGCAACCCUGAUGGUGCAACGCCGCGUGGAG